RNAcentral lists this ribosomal RNA (331 nucleotides) under uncultured Pseudomonadota bacterium. RNAcentral's name for it is "bacterial SSU rRNA". It matches the Rfam family "Bacterial small subunit ribosomal RNA", at positions 29 to 350 of the family's 1533-position model. The record is from RNAcentral. Lineage: Bacteria; Pseudomonadati; Pseudomonadota.
AGCGAACGUUAGCGGCGGGCUUAACACAUGCAAGUCGAACGAGAAAGUACCUUCGGGUACGAGUAAAGUGGCGCACGGGUGAGGAACACGUGGGUAACCUACCUUCUAGCGCGGGACAACGGUUCGAAAGGACCGCUAAUACCGCAUAAGCUGGUGACGGCUGCGGCUGUUACCAGGAAAGGGUGGCGAAAGCUAUCGCUGGAAGAUGGGCCCGCGUCCCAUCAGCUUGUUGGUGAGGUAACGGCUCACCAAGGCAUAGACGGGUAGCUGGUCUGAGAGGAUGAUCAGCCACACUGGGACUGAGACACGGCCCAGACUCCUACGGGAGGCG